UACGAAGGGGGCUAGCGUUGCUCGGAAUCACUGGGCGUAAAGGGUGCGUAGGCGGGUCUUUAAGUCAGGGGUGAAAUCCUGGAGCUCAACUCCAGAACUGCCUUUGAUACUGAGGAUCUUGAGUAUGGGAGAGGUGAGUGGAACUGCGAGUGUAGAGGUGAAAUUCGUAGAUAUUCGCAAGAACACCAGUGGCGAAGGCGGCUCACUGGCCCAUUACUGACGCUGAGGCACGAAAGCGUGGGGAGCAAACAGG
This 253-nucleotide ribosomal RNA is filed under the name uncultured bacterium. Its description in RNAcentral is "partial 16S ribosomal RNA". It matches the Rfam family "Bacterial small subunit ribosomal RNA", at positions 524 to 776 of the family's 1533-position model. The record is from RNAcentral.